UACGUAGGGGGCAAGCGUUGUCCGGAUUUAUUGGGCGUAAAGAGCUCGUAGGCGGCUUGUUGCGUCGACCGUGAAAACCCGCGGCUUAACUGUGGGCUUGCGGUCGAUACGGGCGGGCUGGAGUUCGGUAGGGGAGACUGGAAUUCCUGGUGUAGCGGUGAAAUGCGCAGAUAUCAGGAGGAACACCGGUGGCGAAGGCGGGUCUCUGGGCCGAUACUGACGCUGAGGAGCGAAAGCGUGGGGAGCGAACAGG
This 253-nucleotide ribosomal RNA is filed under the name uncultured bacterium. RNAcentral's name for it is "partial 16S ribosomal RNA". It matches the Rfam family "Bacterial small subunit ribosomal RNA", at positions 524 to 776 of the family's 1533-position model. The record is from RNAcentral.